RNAcentral lists this ribosomal RNA (665 nucleotides) under uncultured Colwellia sp. RNAcentral's name for it is "bacterial SSU rRNA". It matches the Rfam family "Bacterial small subunit ribosomal RNA", at positions 56 to 712 of the family's 1533-position model. Lineage: Bacteria; Pseudomonadati; Pseudomonadota; Gammaproteobacteria; Alteromonadales; Colwelliaceae. The record is from RNAcentral.
UGGCAGUCGAGCGGUAACAGAGAUAGCUUGCUAUCUGCUGACGAGCGGCGGACGGGUGAGUAAUGCUUGGGAAUAUGCCUUAUGGUGGGGGACAACAGUUGGAAACGACUGCUAAUACCGCAUAAUGUCUACGGACCAAAGGGGGGGAUCUUCGGACCUCUCGCCAUUUGAUUAGCCCAAGUGAGAUUAGCUAGUUGGUAAGGUAAUGGCUUACCAAGGCGACGAUCUCUAGCUGGUUUGAGAGGAUGAUCAGCCACACUGGGACUGAGACACGGCCCAGACUCCUACGGGAGGCAGCAGUGGGGAAUAUUGCACAAUGGGCGAAAGCCUGAUGCAGCCAUGCCGCGUGUGUGAAGAAGGCCUUCGGGUUGUAAAGCACUUUCAGUAAGGAGGAAAGGGAAGUAGUUAAUAGCUGCUUUCUGUGACGUUACUUACAGAAGAAGCACCGGCUAACUUCGUGCCAGCAGCCGCGGUAAUACGAGGGGUGCAAGCGUUAAUCGGAAUUACUGGGCGUAAAGCGUUCGUAGGCGGUUGAAUAAGCAAGAUGUGAAAGCCCAGGGCUCAACCUUGGAACUGCAUUUUGAACUGUUCGACUAGAGUACUGUAGAGGGUGGUGGAAUUUCCAGUGUAGCGGUGAAAUGCGUAGAGAUUGGAAGGAACAUCAG